RNAcentral lists this long non-coding RNA (690 nucleotides) under Mus spicilegus (steppe mouse). RNAcentral's name for it is "lncRNA (ENSMSIG00000022071.1)". The record is from RNAcentral. Lineage: Eukaryota; Metazoa; Chordata; Mammalia; Rodentia; Muridae.
CACAGAGAAAGAGAGAGCAUCCUGGAGGCUGUGCUAGCCAUGGAGGCUGAGGAGAAUGAAUGAAAGCAGAGCUGUUUAUUCUGCCAUGAGAGACACUGUGGCAUUCCUCAGUUUAUCUCAUCAGCCCUUUUCCCUGACACUGGCCAGUCACCUGCCACUGAAAUGGAGCCACCUGAAAAAACCACAUCCAUCCUGGCCUGGACCCUUUCCCUCAUGAUGUCCACUCCCACUAACCCCUUUCUUCUUAACGCCAGGAAGCAUUGCCAGAUUGAAGUGUGUGGAUUCCAAGAGCAACUUUCAGCUUGUCUAGACACCCUCUGCCACCCCCCAAGCAGAGGCACAGGUCCUAGUGGUGUCACCCUAUCUCAUCAAGGAAUCCAUGGGCAAUGUACCCCCAGCUGCCUUACUGAAGUGAAGAGAGCUUGACAUCAGAGGGCUUCCUCUCCCAUCUGAGUUGCCUCUCUGAGGUCAUGGGCACCGCAGACCACAUUUGGCAAGAACCUACGGGGAGUGGGACCGCUUCUUGAAGAGCUCUCUCAGAACUGGUGACCCAUUGGUCAGCUUCUCUAGCUAGGACUCUACCUGGGACAGAGGAAAGAAACAGGAGACUGAAGGUGGGGACGGGGGUGUGGCGACAACCCAGCACCGGCGUCUGGGAAAAACGAAGAACCUAAGCUGCCUGGAUCCCUG